CCUGCACAAGCGGUGGAGCAUGUGGUUUAAUUGAAGCAACGCGCAGAACCUUACCAGCGUUUGACAUCCUCAUCGCGAUUUCCAGAGAUGGAUUUCUUCAGUUCGGCUGGAUGAGUGACAGGUGCUGCAUGGCUGUAUCAGCUCGUGUCGUGAGAUGUUGGGUUAAGUCCCGCAACGAGCGCAACCCUCGUCCUUAGUUGCCAUCAUUUAGUUGGGCACUCUAAGGAAACUGCCGGUGAUAAGCCGGAGGAAGGUGGGGAUGACGUCAAGUCCUCAUGGCCCUUACACGCUGGGCUACACACGUGCUACAAUGGCUGUACAGUGAGCAGGACAAACGAGGGUAUG
RNAcentral lists this ribosomal RNA (345 nucleotides) under Sphingomonas sp. RNAcentral's name for it is "bacterial SSU rRNA". It matches the Rfam family "Bacterial small subunit ribosomal RNA", at positions 920 to 1265 of the family's 1533-position model. The record is from RNAcentral. Lineage: Bacteria; Pseudomonadati; Pseudomonadota; Alphaproteobacteria; Sphingomonadales; Sphingomonadaceae.